AUUUAUAUAGUAUAAUAAUUACUUUUUAUUUCCAAUAAAAAAAUUUAAUUUAAAAUUAAUAUAAAUU
This 67-nucleotide transfer RNA is filed under the name Paramblynotus sp. ZJUH 20220012. RNAcentral's name for it is "tRNA-Gly". Lineage: Eukaryota; Metazoa; Arthropoda; Insecta; Hymenoptera; Liopteridae. The record is from RNAcentral.